AAAUAUCUAUUCUCCAUCUUGCAGAGAGGUGUUGAAAUAUCCAAGCCUGAGUCCAAAGAGGAAGAGACCAUGUCAGAAGAAAUAGACAACCCACAGAGGAAAGGCCCACGUGUGGAUCAACCCCGAAAAAUGUGUAUGUAUAUAUAUGUAUAGGUUAAUUAGGAGAUGUUUGCAUGUGCAUUUGGCAUAUGUGCACGAUAAUCUUUAUAUUUGCCUCAUACAUAAAUACUCCUCUUAUGGUAUUGAAAAACAUUGAGAAACAAAAAUAAAGAAAAGAAGAGGAAACACUAGCGGGUCUCCUCCCUCGUCGACCUCUUCUUUGUUGCCUUUUUCCUACUUGUUUCCUACUUCGUCUUUGUGUUUGUCUUGCGAGUACAUGGAAGAACUCAUUCUAUAGCAUCUCAAGUACAAGUUCUUACAGACAGGAGAGAGAUGCGAAGUAAGAUCAGUUUUGUCUUUUUCAAGCAUUUGUAACGUUUUUUAAUGCAUAUCUGGCUUUAAAUUUUUCCAUGUGUUAAUAUAACUUUGUUCAUCAGCUGGAGAGAGUAAAUAAGCCCACAAAAGCAAUAUUUGCAGCCCACCUACCCAAGCCCAGGAGAAGUUAAAACCUGGGGUUCCUUUCCUACUUUUACCAACGCAUCGGUACAGCAUUCGGAUGUUCUGCUGUCUGUCAGAGAAGCAAUGCCGAGUUGGGAGUCGCUGCAGAUGCAAGGUUUGAAAAAUCCUUUUUCUGCCGUAGAUUUGGUUGCAAGGAGAGCUUCAGCUUAAGCUAUUAGAAGAUUAGUGUAUCCAUGCCUUGUAAGCGGAGCCAUUUAUACCGGAUAAAGCUGCGAUAAUAGAGGAUCCAUGAUCACGAACAGUAGCAUCAUAUGUAAUUUAGAACUUUGAUUGCUGGCUUGGAGAAGUUUUCCUUGACGAAGAAUCCUUGCAUGCAAUAGUUUUACGUACUUGCUUAUAACUGGUUUGAACAGACGAGAUGCAAAUAAAGGGCUGGUUUGGUACUUUACAUGUAUGCAUUUGUUUCUCCAAAAUUAGAGCAUAGCUACUAUCAUAGAAGCAAAUAGGUGAAUUUGUUUCUAGGUCUGAUUCAAGACAGCUCAUUGUUUUUGUUCUGUAGGAGAUAGCUUAACCACUCUUCAAUAGAAUUUCAGUGAUUUUACAUAUAGGAUCCUUACAAUAUAGCAUGCUAAGAACAGGUGACUGCAGGUGUUCUCUUUAGUUCCAUAUAGGUAGCAGUUUGAUGUAUUCUGUGAGAAGAAAUUGACAUACCUGGUAAACUCUUCUGAAUUAUUCUCUAUCACAUAAGUUUGUGUCUCUUUAAAAUUUUUUUGGUUCCAUAUAUAUCUCCAAAUUAAAAGUAGGCAUUAUUUAGACAGGGCUGGUUCGUUGUAGUGAUUUUUUGUAAAAGCAGCGUGGUAGGAAAAUUUGGUUUCAUAUACAUUCUUAGGGUUAAGUGUCCAUCCCCAUUUAUACUUGUUAGGUAAAGCUGGUGAGAGUUUGAUUUGGUGAUAUUUUUUUGGAAAUUUGAUUUGAGAACAUUCUCUGUAGCGGGCUAGUGUUCUACUGAUUACCACUCUCUUCAAUAAGUUGGUUCGCAUGUACAAGACAAGGGCAAUAGAGCAAGGCUUGAACCCUUUAAUGGAAAGGAUCCACGGGUCACACCAUGUACUUGUUCCCUUGCCAUUACCAAUUAGCUUGCAGGAUCCCAAUUUCUGAAUAUCCCUGGGUUUUAGGAUUCUUUUCCAGAAAAAGAAAUCUUGCUUUUCUGGAAAGAGCCAAUAUAAAGAGACACCCUUAGUGUAUUUGGCUUUAAUUAAAUUGAUCCAGGGUUUUGAGAGGUCUUCCUGAAUUUUCUAGCUUAGUUUAGUGAACAAGGGAAGAUUAAAUGAUGCAGAACCCAGAAAAUCAAUAAUGUGAUAAAAAACUCAGACAAUUCUCAUAAAACAUCAAAGACUUAAAUACUAAAUAAAUUAUCUUUACUUAACUCACAAUUAACCUGUGAUUGAAACUAAAAUAAUAGGUGUUAAAGAAUUGUCAUGUGACAAAGAAUAUUAAGAGGAAUAUUAAAGUUGUCAGCAAUAAUAUCAGCAAGAAAAAAAUAGAUUUGUAGCAAGGACAAUUUUGCAAUAUUACCAGCCAUAUUACUAGCUCACUUUGCAAUUUGUUACAACAAUUUUUUUAUUUUUCAGUACUAUUAUUAUCUAUAAAUAUUUACUAUACACUUGUAAGAUCAAGAUUUAUUCAUUACUUUUAUAAAUAAAAUCCUCUUAGCUCAGCAUAGUUAAGCUGAGAAAUCUUCAAAAUACAAAGCAGAUUUUUAACUUGGUAUCAGAGCCAACAAUGGCUGGUGAUGGUGAAAGCUCGACAGUCUCAGUAAAUCAAAACAAUGGAGGAAAUAUCACAAUAAUGAAGACACUUAACAUGACAGGAAACCCAAUGAGAUCAUAUAGUAUGGUUAAGUUGAACCAUAACAAUUUCCUACUUUGGAAAAACAUGGUGCUACCACUUAUUCGAGGAAAUAAACUGGAAGGAUACCUCAUUGGAGCAAAGAUAACACCACGAGAGUUCACAAAAGUUGUUGUUCAAGGAACAUAUGAAGUUCAGGUCACAACAAACCCAAAAUACAAGGAAUGGUAUGUCCAAGAUCAAAUGCUUCCUGAAUGGAUCUACAACACCAUUGAACCAACGGUUGCUUCUGAACUAAUGGGGCAUGAUACAUCUCGAAAGUUGUGGAAUGCCAUCAAUGACCUGUUUGGAAUCAAAACAAGGUCAAACAUAGUAUUUUACAAGAGAGAGUUUGCAAAGACGUAGAAGGGAAACUUGAAGAUGGAAGAUUACCUCAAAGCCAUGAAAAGUUUGACAGAUAAUCUAGCUCUUGCUGGUCAUCCCGUAUCAGUUGACGAUUUAGUCACUCAAAUAUUUGCUGGACUUGAUUCUCAAGAUUGCAACCCUCUAGUGUGUCAAAUCACUGAAAAGGAAACGACUAGCUGGAUAAAAUUUCAGUCGAAAUUAUUGAGCUAUGAAAGAAGAUUAGAGUAGCUAAACACUGGCAUGACUACCCUGAAUCUUGGACAACCUGCUGCAAAUUAUGUCAGGAAUACAAACUUCAACAGCAAAAACAACAAUCAGUAUUUUCCACGAGGAAGAACAACAAACAAUAGCAACAGAGAUAGAGGAUCUAGAGGAAGAGGAAGCCGAUUUAGAGGAGGCAACAAACCUAUGUGCCAGGUGUGCAGAAAGAUAGGUCACACUACUAUUGUGUGCUACUAUUGAUUUGGCAAAAGUUAUGUGGGUGCUCUAUCUGAUUCAAGCCACAUAAAUCAAAACUCAGCAUUCCUAGCAACAACAGAAAACAUAGGAGACACAGCUUGGUAUUUUGACAGUGGAGCUAGCAGCCAUGUUACAAUUGAUGUUGGAAACAUGCAACAAAAAUACGAAUACACUGGUAAAGAAUGUUUGACAGUGGGAAAUGGUGAGAAGUUAAAUAUUUAUCAUACUGGUUUAGUUACAUUGUCUGCUAGAAAUGGAAAGUUUUUGUUAUUGAAUGAUACCUUGCAUGUGCCUGAUAUUGAAAAGAACUUGGUAAGCAUAUCAAAACUGAUAACUCCAAAUAAUGUUGAUGUUGUUUUUUAUUCUUUUGGUUGUGUUGUGAAAGACAAAGUUUCGGGCAAAACUUUGCUACGGGGGAAGCAUCAACAAGGCUUGUACCAGAUUGAGACAAGUCACCAAUCCCAAAUAUAUCCCAAAUCAGAAAACUAUCAAGAUUUUGUUUCCAAGAGCAAAAAUGAGCCUAAAAAAUUUAGGAGUAUAGAAACUUGGCACAGGAGAUUAGGUCAUCUAGCUAUCAAAAACACUUACAAAAUUAUUGAGUCCUGUAAUGAUUUCUUCUGUGAUGCUUGUCAACUUGGAAAGUCUCAUUCUCUUCCCUUUACUAUAUCAUCUUCACAUGCAUCACAACCCCUGGAGAUAAUCCACAUUGACAUAUGAGGACCUGCACCCAUCACUUGCAUGUUAGGAUAUAAAUAUUCUGUACUGUUUUUGAAUGAUCAUAACAGAUUCACAUGGCUAUACCUUAUGAAACACAAAUAUGAAACCAUUAAGAUCUUCAUAUAGUUCAAAACCAUGAUCGAAAAUAAACUUGAUAAAAGGAUCAAGAGUGUGCAAUCAAACAUGGGUCGAGAAUAUAGAAGUCUUGCAAAUUACUUGCAACAACAUGGAAUUAGGUCUUAAUAUGUCUGUCCCUAUACUUCUACUCAAAAUGGAAGAGCAGAGAGAAAACAUCGGCAUGUUGUAGAGACAGGAUUAACCCUAUUAGCCCAAUCAAAUGCCCCUCUAAAAUACUGAUUCGAAGCUUUUCAGACUUCAGUUCACCUAAUAAACAUGUUACCUACACCUGUGAUUGAUAACAAAUGCCCUAUUGAAAAGUUGUUUCACAAGAAACCAAAUUACAAGGCCUUAAAAGUUUUUGGAUGUGCUUGUUACCCUUAUUUAAGACCUUACCAAAACCAAAAGUUUUAAUUCCAUUAAGUGAAAUGUGUAUUCUUGGGGUAUAGUCAUACGCAUAAAGGUUUCAAGUGUCUUAGCUCCACAGGAAUGAUAUACAUAUCAAGAAAUGUAGUGUUCAACGAACAAGAAUUUUCGUUCAAAAAUGACUUUCUAAACACCAAAACAUCAGAAACACAAAUGUUGAUCACUAUACCCACCUGGUUCACCAAAUCUCAAACAAAAAAUAUAGUCUCGUUUGAUGCAGGUCAGCAAGGUACUUUAAUUCCAGUAGAACAAGCUCGCAAUACUGAGUCUGGAACUCCACUUCUGGAAUAUCAAACAAGGAGAUUGUCAUUUAAAGGGGGAUUUGACUCUCCCUACAACUCAGAAUUUAGAGAAGCUCCUGGUUCUAACAUUGGAGUUACAGAACACUAUAAUAAACAAGAGUAUAAUGUUAGACUUCAAUCAAUUGAAGAACAACAAAAUGAAUAUGAAGAAAAUGAAGCUAACUCAAAUAAACAACAAGUAGAAAAAGGACACAGAAUGAUAACAAGAUCCAAAGCUAGAAUUUUCAAGCCAAAACAACACCCAACAGAUUUUCAGCUAUAUGUUGCAGAAAACUCAAUGCCAAUUGAACCAAUUUUAGUUGAUGAAGUUUUGAGAUCAAAACAUUUGAGACUCGUAAUGGAAGAAGAAUUGAAUGCAUUGAAGAAAAAUAAUACCGGUCAUUGGUACCUUUCACAUCCUCUAUGAAUGUUGUAGGCAGUAAAUGAGUGUUUAAGGUUAAGAAAAAUAUUGAUGGGAGUUUUCAGAGAUGCAGAGCGAGGCUAGUGGAAAAAGGGUUUUAUCAAAAUGCAGGGAUUGAUUAUGGUGAAACCUUUAGUCUAGUAGUAAAGGUUUCAACCAUUCGAAUAAUUUUGACUAUAGCAAUAACAGAAAAUCGGGAUAUCAGGCAACUGGACAUCAACGAUGCUUUUCUGAAUGGUGAUUUGCAAGAAUCAGUUUAUGUGCGGCAGCCCGAAGGGUAUGAAGACAAGAGCAUGUCCAAGUAUAUCUGUAAAUUGAAGAAAACCUUAUAUGCUUUAAAACAGGCUCUAAGGGCCUGGUUUGAGAAAUUGAAAAUUAUAUUAUUGAAAUGGGGCUUUAAGGGGUCAAAGUGUGACUCAUCACUAUUCAUCAUGAAAGUAAAUGACAAAAUCAUGUUUGUGUUGAUUUAUGUUCAUGACAUGAUUGUGACUAAAAUCAAUUCAGCUUCACUAAAGCAUUUUGUGCAAGAACUUGACAAGCUGUUUACUUUGAAAGACUUGAGAUCUUUGCAUAUAUUCCUUGGCAUUGAAGUUAUGAGAGAUGACACAAGGAUUUUCUUAACACAAACAAGGCAUAUUGAGGAAUUAUUGAAGAAAACGGGUAUGGAAAACUCAAAGAAUUCUUUACACCUGCCAUAUUAAAUGUUGCUCUAACAAAAGAUGAUAGGGAACAACUAAAGAAUCUUACACUCUAUAGAAGAAUCGUUGGAUCCCUACAGUAUGUGACACAUACCAAACCUGAUCUUGCAUACAUAAUCAAUAAAUUAAAUCAGUUUCUUCAAAAUCCAACAGAAAACACAUGCAAGCAGUGAAGAGGGUAUUAAGGUACCUGAAGGGAACCAAAAUUUUCGGCCUUCACAUUCAACUCUGUAGCAAAUAUACCAUCACAGGGUUCUUCGAUGCUGACUGGGCGUGCAAUAAGGAUGAUAGAAGAUCUACAGCAGGGUAUUGUGUCUAUUUGGGUCCAAUUCUGGUUUCUUAGAACUCUAAAAGGCAAUAAGUGAUUGCAAGAUCAAGAACAGAAUCCGAAUACAGGGCCUUGUCUCUAAUAUCUUGUGAAAUUGUGUGGAUGGAAUCAUUGCUCAAGGAACUGCCAUUUCCAAUUGAAAAAGUACUUGUAACCUAAUGUGAUAAUUUAAGUGCAAAAAAACUUGUUAGCAAUCCAGUAUUCCAUGCUAAAACAAAACACAUAAAAGUUGAUAUUUACUUCAUUAUAGAUAAGGUGUUUGAGAAAAAUCUUGAAGUUACAUACAUACCUUCUCAAAACCAAGUAGCAGACGGCUUAACUAAAGUUACAACUGACUCUCAAUUCUACAAUCUAAGAAACAAACUUGGAGUGUUCAAAAACUCUCUCCCAUGUUUGAAGGGGGAUGUUAAAGAAUUGUCAUGUGACAAGGAAUAUUUAGAGGAAUAUUGAAGCUAUCAGCAAUAAUAUCAGUAAGGAUAAAACAGAUUUGCAGUAAGGGCAAUUAUGCAAUAUUACCAACCAUAUUACCAUCUCACUCUGCAAUCUCUUACAAUAAUUUUCUUAUUUUUUAGUACUAUUCUUAUCUGUAAAUAUUUAUUGUACACUUGUAAGGUCAAGAUUUAUUUAUCACUUUUAUAAAUAAAAUCUUCCUAACUCAAUAAUAGUUAAGCUGAGAAAUAUUCAAAAUACAAAAGUAGAUUUUUAACUAUAAGAAUAAAUGAAUUGAUUAAAAUGCCAUAAGACAAACUUUGAUAAGUUAAAAUCAAUUCAAAAAAAGAGAUUGAUGAAAACACCACAAGUUACCUUAAUAAGUAGACACUAAUUUCACAAGAAAGUUGAAGAAAAUCUCACUAGUUGAAAAUGUAUAAAGCUUCGCAUUUUGUUAAUUCCAAACUUGAAUUAUUGAAUACAAUUCUUAAAGUCAAUUUAUAGUUGAAGGCCAAGAGAAAUAUUAGGAAAAAAAAUCUCCUAAUUAAUAAUUAAUUUUUUAGGAAUAAAUUACAUAAUUAAGAAAGUAAUACUAAUUAAUGGAGAUAUAGUUGCAUAUCUUGAAUUAAAGAAGGUUUUUUUGCCAAUUUUGUUGAGAUUUGGCCAUCCAUGUAAAGAUCUCUUAUUUUUAAGAAGAUAUUUUUAGAAUUUCUUAUUUUGAAGAAGAUUUCUUGCAGAUCUUUUAAUUUAAAGAAAAUAUCUUAAUUUCUUAGGAAAAUGAAUCCGUCCAUGAUCUCGUGAGUUAAAUGUUUUUGAUUUAAUAUACCUUUUCGGAAAGAAGUAUCCCCCAUGAUCUAAAGAAUCUACCCAUGUUCUUCCUCAUUCCGUCCAUGAGUUGCCCUUUAAAUAUACUUGAUUUAAUUUUCCCUUUCGAACAGAUAUAAUCGGUUCCUUGCAUUAAUUCUUUGAUUUUGUUUCCUCUUUGUGCUAUUUGAAAAAGAUAUGUAGAGGGAAAAAUCUCUCUUGUAUAGAAAAAGAAUCCCUCACGGGUGGCAAAGGAGUAUUCAUCCAUUUCGCCAAAUGGACUUGGUUCUCCUCCUUAAUGGGCUUUCACCUUUGGCCCAAGCCUCUCUUCUCCAUGAAUCCAUCAUUUAACAUAGGCUUGAAAGUUGUCCUUGAAUUUAUUAGCCAGUGUUUGGUCCAUCUAACAUCAAGAUACUCCUUUCAUGUGACGUAAGUUCACCAUGUGAUGUAUCCAAGCAUUCCAUGCUCACAUUAUCUCCUCAUUUGAAAAUGAUUUGUCCUCGAAUCGAGAUCUUCUUAUGUACGGAUGCUUCUAGCUUUGCUUUGUUCAAAAAGAUAUCUUGCAAAAUAAUACCACUAGACAAAGAUAGAUUAAAGUUAAAUAAACAAUUCCUUUUUUUUUUCUCCCAUAAAAGGGUCAUCAUCAACUUGUUUAUCUCCUAUAACAUCAAUUUUCCUUUUUUCUAUGACAUCAAUUUUCUUCUCUCCUGCAACAUUUUUCUCCUUCCCUCUCAUGGAAUUAGUCUCCUCUUCUUCUGCGGCAUUUUGCUCUUGGGUGAAACUAAGUGGAGGUCCAAACCAACUGAUGUUGAAAAAUCAGCAAAUGAGUUAUGGUAGAGGUGAAAUGCUAUUCGAACCCAGAGCUAGUUGGUUCUCCCCGAAAUGUGUUGAGGCUCAGCAGUUGAUUGGACAUUUAGGGGUAAAGCACUAUUUUGAUGUGCGUUGCGAGAGUGGUAUCAAAUCGAGGCAAACUUUAAAUACUAAAUAUGAUCUCAAAAGAAUAGGGGGUCAAGGUCGGUCAUUAAGACAAUAGAGGGAUAAUGAAAAAAGUGUAUGCUUUUGACUAUUCAAGCUAAAAGAAUAGUGGCUCCUCAUGCCAUCAUGAAUUGCACGCCUUUUUUUUUUUGCCAUGGUCACGCAAGUAAUAAAUGAUUAGCAUGCAUGGGGUAUAAUAUCACAGAAUUUCGUCAGUGUAUCACUAAUUGUAAAAGAAACCCAUACUUGCUUGGAUAUGUCCAUCUCCUCACAUUCUUGCGGUAAUUGUAACUUGUAGGGAUGAGGAUGUGCUGUGCAUAUCAAGCUCAACUUGUCAACCACUAUAGAACUAACAGUGUUGGUAUAGCUACCUUUAUCAAUCUGUAUGUUACACAUUUUUUUGCUCACAGAACGACGAGUAUGGAAGCUAUCUUGAUUAUCUUCCUUUAGAUCGGAUCGUCUUUUCUCCACUUCAUCACAUGAAUUGGCCUCCUCAUCCUGGAUUCGGCUUUUGACUCUUGAUGAAGUAGAAGACCUUUGACUUAUUUUUGCCCAAUUAAGCUCUCUAAGCCUUCUUUGGAACUUUUCCAUAUAGAGUUUUAUAUUGGUUAGUUUACUAGGCAAAGACAUUGUUAGAAACUUGCAAGAAAUGUUAGAAAAUAGCAUCCCCUCACUUUUUUCACUAUUGUGUUGCACUUACUCUCUCAAUAUUCUCUCUCAAGUUGAAUACCGGAAUUGAAUUCUCUUGAAUCAAAGUAAUCAAAUUUUAUUCUAGGAUACUUCAAAAAAUACUGGGGAAAGAAAAUUGUAGACAAACAAUUCUAGAAGUACUGGAAUUUAAACGUACGGAUGAAGAUAGUGUGUGGUUUAUGUAUGAUGCUAAAUAGCAUGCAGUUAGUGACUGAUAGAUAUAAUGGAACAAAAGCACAGUGAAAGAAAGAAACUUAGAGUACAAGAAAUAUAAUAUAGAUAUGAUAUUUUUGUCUUUUUUUUAAAAAACCAAGCUGUCUCAUAGCCUUAGGCACAAAGAUCUUCUGCCAAUGGAUUAGUACAAAGCCAUGGAUCUUGUUCUUCAAAUCAGCCCACCAGAUUUUUCUAGUUAUUUUGGCGAACUGUCCAAUGAUGUUCUGUGCCAGUAUAUAUGUUGACAUAUAAUGUAUGGGAAUGGCAUUGAGGACAUAUCUUACCAUAGUAGAUCUGUCGGUAUAUGAGACUGGGUGACUUUUCUGGCUAGUUGGUUUUUUAUCAUUCUUUACAAAAGGUUUUGAAAAGUCUUUGAGCUAUUUUUUUUUUUAAGAGUCUUAAUCCUAAAUAAUUUACUGCUUCCAUGUGAGGCUUUAAGAUUAGAGAUGGUCAUCAUGCUCCUGCGACUUUCAGGCUUGGCUUUUCUGCACUUACGCUUAUUUAGUGAUUGACCUGACUAGACAUAGUAUAUUUUAGUGUGAGACAUAACUGCAAAAAAUAUUUUGCUCAUUUGCUUGAUGGUAAAUUAACAAGUCGUUCACAUGCAAUAAAUGAGUAAAAGAGGAUGCACUAAGUUACGUUAUUGUUGGAUCUAGCUUUAAGUAAAAUUUUAUGUAAGUUUUGUGCGAAGGAGAAAUGGAUAUGGAGAUAAUGGAUCCCUCUAUCUAAAGCAUCAUUGUGGCUGAACUCCUAACAUCAGAAGGCCAUUGAUGAUGAUUUGAUAAGACAUUGGAAUGAAGCAUUAUGAGAUCAACUGGAUUUUCUUAUUAUAAAAUUCCAGCUUUUCUAAAAUGCAUUGUAUGAGUCUCCAGUCUACUCUGUCGAAUGCCUUUUUCAUAUCACAUUUAAGUAUUGCCAGCUUCGUACUCAUCUUUUACCUUCAUGGAGUGCAUUAUUCAUAAGAAAUUAUAAUAUUUUUUGAAUUAUUUGACCUUUAGUAAAGGUUAAUUAACAAAGGAAAAUAAUUUUAUCCAUAAUUCAUCUUAGUUUUGUCGUUAAGAUUUUAGAGAUAAUAUCGUAAUUUACAAUGCAUAAUAACAUAAGAAGGAACUUAUUCAUUGUGUCGCUGCCUUUUACUAUGGAAUUAAAGCAACGUUAGUCUGGUUAACCUCCUCUAACAUGAAACCUAAACUGAAGAAAGCUUGUACAAAGGACACCGCAUCUUUUUUUAUUAGGUGUUAGAAGUGGUGAUAGAAAAUUCGAUCAUACUGUCGAGACUGAUGCUUCAUGAGCACCUAUGCAUUUGACCACUCGGUAGAUUUUCUAUCUCCAGGAAUAUGUAAUAGAGUUUCAUUUUUCUCAUUAGUUAUUACAUGAGGAAAUAAACCCUCUAGAUCUUUUGAAAAGUAGGCAUUGCUGGUAAUUGAUAGAGUUUGGAAGUGCUCCAGAAAAUGAGUGGCAAUCUUAUGUUGGUCAUAUAUCCAAUCACCUUGGAAGGAUUUAAUAUCUUCAAUGGAAUUUCUCUUCUUUCUGAUAGUGGCUGAAAUAUGGAAAUAUUUGGUCUUUAGAUUUCUUCUUUUUGUUGCUCAAUCAAUUUAUCCAUGAGUAGAUUUCUUCUUGUAGAAGAAGCCCUUGAAACUCAAUUUGGAUGGCUACUUCAGUAUUCAUAUUUUCAGGGCUAGGCUCCUUUUGUUAUAAUUGUUCUAUUUGAUUUUAAUUCCUUGUGGUGUUUGUGCUAAGAUUGCUAAAGUAGGAUUCCGUCAUUUUAGAAGUGCCAAGUGGGUUUUCUGAGUCUUUUGGUAGUAUCAGUGGACUGCUGACCCAAUUAGCUGAUCCCAUGCAUUUUCUACUACUGUAUUGCUUGUAUAGUCCUUUACCCAUAUCCCUUUUUAAUUUAGAAAGCUUCUUAAAUCCACUAUGAUGCUUUAGUAUAGAAAUGAGUAAAGGAUUAUGGCUAAAAAAGGUUGUUGGCAAUGAAAAAUGCUUGCCUGAAGAAAUAGUAAGCGCCAUUGGCAGUUGGCCAGAUCAAGUCUUGCUUUUAAAUUGACUGCCCCACUCCUUUUAUUAGACAAGGUAUAUGGAUUACCUGCAAAACUUGUUACUCCAUAAUUGUGGGAUCUGCUUCUGUCCAAUUCUUUUAUAAUGCUGUUGAAAUUCCCUGCAGGAAGUCAAGGAAGAUUGUGAUUGCUUCCAAUUUUAUAAGAGUUUCCCAUAAUUGAUUUUUAGUUGCUGAGUAAGGGAGACUGUUGACGCUAGUAAAUAGCCAUGUCUGACUAGGAAUUAUGCCUUAUAUCAGAAUGUUGAUAAAAUUUUCACCAGUAUUGGUUACCUUAAUCUUGAUACUCGCUUUCUAAGCAAGGUAUAAGCCUCUUUUUAUGCUAUUGGAAGGCCCAAGUUAACAGUGGUUAUAACUUAGUUUUCAACCUUCUAUUUGCAGUCUAGAUUUAUCUAACUUAGUUUUAGAUAAGAAAAACAUUUCUAGAGUUGUGUUUUUCGGAAUAAACCUUAAGUUCCUAACUGAAAAGGUAUGGCCUAACCAUCUGUAGUCAACUGCUAAGAUCUUCAUGAGUCCUUUGGAGAUAUUAGACUUGUCUCCAAGACUUUUGAAUUAGUAGGAGUUAUGAUUUUCUCUUGUGACUGCAUAGAGGGUGCUGAAGGAGGAUUAUAGCUUUGCGAUUUAUGCUGAUCUAUCUUCUUUCUCCGGAACCUGUGAAAGAAGAAUGUAGCAUACCUUCUGCAUUCAUUCCAGAAAAGAGAAGAAAGGAGAGUGUAUCUUGUGUCUUACCCAAUUAGGCCUAUCUUAGAAGAGCUUUAUAGAGCAAUACUUUUUAAAUGAAGAGUCCAAAUUAUCUUCAGUAGCUUCUCUUUAUGGGCAUGUAGAAUGGGCUAGGCUUGGGCUAAGUUAACUUCAAUAGAGAUUUGGAUAGAUUCUAGGCCUGUUUCUCCUUCAACAAACCUGUUUAUUAGGGGUGGAUGUGGUCCAGCAUUUAAUGUUAUAAGACAACAAUUGUUGCUUAAACUGGAUGUUUGCUGGCAUUAAAUGCUACUAUCAGUCUUCAAAAAGAGGGCUUAAGAUAAUCAGAUUUGUAUGGUGUACAUUUGGGUUCUCAUACUAUUUGUCAUGUGUUUGUGAAGUGGUGCUCUGGAUGCUUCUGAGUGCAAGUACCAUUUUAUGUCUUCUUUAACUUAAGAACCAGCUUCUAGGGGUAUCUAUUUGUCUAGAACCAAACUUGAUCGUUUCGAGAAUUGAUUGUCGGGGUCUGAAUUAAAGAUUGUAUCGAAAUGGACUGAAAUUUUUGUUUUAAUUCUAUAACUAAAAAUUUAAUAAAACAAAACUAAAAUUAAAAGUCAUUUAUGUUUUUUGUAUUUCGGUUCAAAUUGGUAUAUUUUGAUUAUGACUAGGAAGAGAUUGAAAUAAAUCAAUUUUUUUUGUUACUUGGUGAUUUGACCGAAAAUCGAACCGGACAAUGUUUAAUUAGCCAUUCUUUUAAGUUGAGAAUUAACUUUUAGGUAUAUUCAUAUGGAACUGGAAAAUGUCAAAUUGAGAACCUAUUAAGGGUAGGGGUCCAAUGAUUUAUUUUGACUUUAUAAGAUUGAUUUUAAUAAAAUAAGCUAAGUGGAACCGGACCGAGAUGCGACCUUUUCGGGUACUUGGUGUGUAGACUGAGAACUGUAUGAAAUGAUAUUUUGUUCGGUUUUCUUCAUACCAAAGUUCGAAUACUCCUACCAGCUUUGAGUGCAAUUUUGUUGAGAGGCAUGUAAAUUGUCAAUCAAGUUAGAGGAAUUUAUCCUAAUGAAAGACUGUGAUGGAAGGUUUGCUUAAAGGGAAAAGUUUCUGACUGCGAUUAGUAAGACUACAAUUAGUGUAAAGAUCCCCAUGUUCAUUUUUAUUAGCUUUGGCCCACUUACAAUGAUUGCUUUACCUAUUUUACUGACCAAUUGUGUGCCAUUUCUUCUUUGAUCAUACCAGGAGAUAAGCCUUCGAUUCUAAUGCAAAAAUUACCUGUGGGAAAAGUCUAGCUCUUCAAUUAUAUCAUCCAAUAGCGAAGUUUUUGAGGAUAAGUGGAGCUCCUCUUGAUAGGACAGUUUCCUUUGGACACAGGUUGAUUAAAGAGAGAUAUAAAGAAUGAGGGCAAGUCAAAUCGUAAAGUUUUUUAUGUUAAUUUUGAAGUUAAUACUCAAUGAAUAAUAUAUUUUAAAGAAAAGUAAUGUAAAUUUGCAAUGUUUUAUUAAAAUAAAAUAAAACAAGUUUUGUCUUAUAAUUUUAGAAAAGUAAUGUUGUUAGAUAUUAAAAUACAAGUAUGUCAUGUUUAGUAGUUUUAACCAUUUUGUUAACAUGUAAAAUUGGAGUACUUUAAAUUCUUACACCCUUUGUUUACGAUUUAUGAAAUCUUUUUACUAGUUUUGCUAGGUUUUAUGUGCAGCUGUAGCGGUGACCAAAAAUAAAAACUUAUUUUCCCACUAGGUUUUCUUGUCUGGUUAGGAUGGAGAAUUUAGAAAAUGAUAGAUGGGAUAUUCCCAUUCGGUUGCAAUCCGGUAAAAACAAAAACUUAUAACAAGAUGAGAAAGGCAGAAAUCCCAAAUUAUUGUCCUCAUAAAUUUAUAAAGCCAGAGUACCAUAAUAUGGAACUUGAUGCAACUUGUAAGAUGAGCAAAUUAAAGUAUCACUGGAAUUACGUUUCUAUGUGCCUGUCUCCCAUUUGAUAGAAAUUCAAGCUUAGCUUACCGAUAAUAGGUGCUUUUAUGUUCUACUCAGCAUAUACUUUGUGAGUUGGAGAACAAGGCUAAUAUCUUCAUGGUGAUAGACUAUCUAUAACUUGCUGGUUGGAACUCCUACCGGUGUAUCUCUGGACCUCCUUUCUACUACUCGUGAAAGUUGCUUCACUGCUUCUUUUGGCAGAUGACGAGGCCGGCUCAACCAAAGUCCUCCAUCAACUACGAUGAUGGUCCCAUUAAUGUACUUACCUUCAAGAUUCAAAUUUCAAAAAUUAAAUAAGAACAGAAAAAAGUUUAUAUAAUUAAUAGAAUACGAACAACUAUUUUGCUGACUGCCUAAAUAGAACAGUUCAAUUGUCACCUAAGCGCCUUGGAGAAUGUCAUACUUCCCAACAUAAUUCUUGACAAUGUUGCCAUUUCUUUCAAGGCAUAAUCACCUCAAUACAACCAUGGGGAACAUGGCCUUUGUUGGGCAAGCAAGUAUGAACAGUAUCAGAAAUCAAAGAAGUGACAGCAUAACAAUGUCAUUGACAAUUAUGAUUAGACGACCAAUUCCAGUUCCAGAACUUUGGCUUGGGGAAAGGCCGAGCCCCCUCGGCUUGGUGCAUACAAGAGAAAUUUCGAAGAGAAUUAACCCUCUCCGUCUAUCAAUGAGGCCUAGACGCAUGAAACUUCAGAGUGAAGUCAACUAAAGAAGGCAUGUCGAUCUCUUCUGUCUACAACAUCUAGACACAAAGCCUUCAGUGAAGUAGGCUUCAGAANNNNNNNNNNNNNNNNNNNNNNNNNNNNNNNNNNNNNNNNNNNNNNNNNNNNNNNNNNNNNNNNNNNNNNNNNNNNNNNNNNNNNNNNNNNNNNNNNNNNNNNNNNNNNNNNNNNNNNNNNNNNNNNNNNNNNNNNNNNNNNNNNNNNNNNNNNNNNNNNNNNNNNNNNNNNNNNNNNNNNNNNNNNNNNNNNNNNNNNNNNNNNNNNNNNNNNNNNNNNNNNNNNNNNNNNNNNNNNNNNNNNNNNNNNNNNNNNNNNNNNNNNNNNNNNNNNNNNNNNNNNNNNNNNNNNNNNNNNNNNNNNNNNNNNNNNNNNNNNNNNNNNNNNNNNNNNNNNNNNNNNNNNNNNNNNNNNNNNNNNNNNNNNNNNNNNNNNNNNNNNNNNNNNNNNNNNNNNNNNNNNNNNNNNNNNNNNNNNNNNNNNNNNNNNNNNNNNNNNNNNNNNNNNNNNNNNNNNNAAACAUGACAUUAUUAGUGACGUGUAUUUUGGGAAUGUUAUUGAUUCUCUAACUACAUUGUAAAUAUUUUGUAAAUGAGUGGUACCUCUGGUUUCUUUGUUUAUUCACACUUUUUAUUUCAGAAAAAAAAAAGAAAACUAGAGGAAGGACUGGAACAUAUAAAGAAAGGGUUUGACAUUUCUAUUAUCCUCUAUUCAGUUUUCACAAAAAUUGAGACUUUAUUCUUGUGACAAAAGAAGGAAAAUGAGUUACUGACCAGCAUCUGACACCAGGUAUAGUGCGGACAUAGCAAUAUCCCAUUUCUCCCCAAGGUUAUACAAAGGCAUGGACUCUCUCGCUUUGCCAUCAAUCUCUUUAGGUGCUAAUUUGCUCAUUCCAGGAGUGUCACCAAUAGGGCCUGGGGCAAUCCCAUUGACUCGGAUAUCAUAGUCACUUCCCCACUCCAAUGCCAAGCUUCUAGUAAUGCUAUCAACAGCUGCCUGUUGACAAAUGAGAUCUUAAAACUUUAAAGUUAAUUUAAAAGUAGAACUUCACUCAAAAAAACCUCUCGUGCAAACCUUGGCAGCAGAUACAUGUACUUGAUACCACGAAGCUGUAUAAUGUAAAGUUGCACUUAUGUUCAAAAUUGUUCCACCACAUGUGCCCCUCCCAGGUCCUCCUUUUUUAAGAUACUUAAGUGCUUCAUGGCACAUUGUAAAGGUUCCAACUGAAUCAAUAUCCAUAACUGCAGGGGAUCAUGGAAGAAUUUUAUUCAGGUAAAACACUAGCAGGUCCUACAAAUAGAUAAAAUUUAUGAGUUAACCAUCAUAAAAGAUGUACAAAUAUCAAUUUUUGCAAAAGGUAAAACAUCAACUUGGUCUUGGGGCAAGUCAUCCUCCUUGAGUUGACAAGAACAAUUACUCGGCAAUAGAAUGAAUUCAUUUCCUUUAUUUAAAAAAAAAAAAAAGAAUGAAUUCAUUUCCUUGUCUUCUGAUAAGGGAAAUUGGUUGAUCAAAUGGCACCCAAUAUUCUUCCCCCCUCCUCCCCCCUCCCCCCUCCCUCUCCCUCCUUUCGAGGAAAAAGAAACAAAGUAAAAACAUCUGAACUGCCUUCUCAAUAACUGGACCUUUUCUUUCAACAGAAAAUAAGUUUUUCUAAAGAAGAAUAAGGAAUCCUCCAGUGGCAACCAAAAAAGAAUAAAAGAUCAGAACAAAUAGAAAAGCAUGUACCACCAGAUAGAUGCCCAAUCUCCGCAGAAAAUCGCUAAAGAUGCCUUAUCCCAAAGGAGCAUCGGAAUUAGCAAUCUGUCCCAACAGAACAAAGUAAACUAGAAAGAGUCUUCGAAAACUCUAGCAUUCCCCCUUUUAACCAUAAGAUCCACAACCCAACAAAACUUUUCCCUCCCCAUAACAUUUUCAGCUCCUUGUUCCUGAAAAGCAAUGUAGGGAGGAGGAAACAAAGUCUUUUCAGUAUCAAAGAGCCUAGCUCGAAGUCCAAAAACCACAUUACAACAAAGAAGAGGAAGGAUAAUGGAACUUGAACAUAUUAUAACACAUAACACGUACAUCUGAAGAUAAUGAUCAUGGAUCUGCGAGCCUGAAGCAGAUUCUUAAUAUUUUUUAUAUAGAAAGGAAGUAUUACUAUAAGAGAGAGGGAAAAAAGAAUUACAACCACAGGGGAUAAGAUAUUUUUUUUAAUACAGUCAUUAAAGGAGGAAAACAAUUGAUGCAACAUGUAUUAGUGUUAGAUUUUCUAAAUAGUUUAGAAAUUAUAACUUAUCAAAUCUAAAACUACUAGACUAUUUAGGAGUUUAUAUUAUUAAGAAUUACUAUUAUAGUUUUAGUAAUUUAAGAUUUUUAUUUUUAUUAGUAUUUUUUUAUUUGUAUUAGGAUUAAUGUUCCUAAUUCUAAUAAUCUACUAUUUCUUAAUUUAAUUCUAUUUAGGAAAAUUUAUUUAGAAAUUAUUAUAAAUAGUUUUGUAAUUUUACUAAUAGAGCUUCAAUUAUUCAUAAUUUUUUAAGAGUUUUUUAUUUUUCUAAUUGUGUGAUACAAAUCCAGGUGGCACAACUUACAACCAGGACACAAUUUAAGCUCACAUGAGAGAUCACAUGAGUUUGAAAGCUCAUAGCCACAAAUGGAAUCAUGACUACAUAAGCUUAAGACCUCACUGCCACAAAGGAAAUUAUGGUUACAUGAGUUUAAAAGGUUUGACCACAUUAAAGGAGAGCAAGACAUAACCCAAGAGGGAGUUCACGGCGUCAUGAGCUUAAGAGGCCACGGUUUUGGCCUCAUGAAGGAUGAAUGUCAUGGCAUGGACCAUUCAAGUUUAGAAGGUCAUGACUUGGGCUGUCCAAAGGGAAAUCAAGGAGGCAUGGGCUGUCCAAAAGGAGAUCAAGGUGGCAUGGACAGCCCAAGUGGAGACCAAGGUGUUUUGGGCCAUGAACAACACCCACAUGGAGACAAACAAGGCUUGGACGCAACACAUGAUGGAUUUGGGCAACAUGGAAGGAGAUCUUAAUGACACAUGGACCAAGCACAAGAUCAUGGCUCCAUAAACUUUAAGAAAGACUUUCACCUUUGUGUUAAGAGAUGGAUCCAUGAGGAAGUCAGUCUUGGACUGAACUUGGAAGCCCAAAAAGGAGGAAAUCCAAGCCCAUUCGACCAAAGGGAGAAUCGGCCAUGCAAUGUCCUACAAUUUGGGGACACAUGGCUAACUUCUUUCAUGGGAGAUUUUCUCUCACCCGAGAGACAUUUUCUCCUGCACAUGGAAUAUUUCUCCUUCAUAUAAUCACAAUCUGCAGCAAAAAGAGUCCAUAAAAUCAUGGACUCUUGGGAAUCAAGCAUAGGAAGGCCGAUCACAUCUCUUCAAGCCUUCCUAACCGAGCUCUUCUCAUCCAAAGACAUUAAACACGUGUUACAACAUAUUUAACAUGUGGAGAAUCAAAGGAAUUUAUCCCAACCUCUUGCUCAAUUCUCCCCUUAAAAUUUCUUAAGAAAGAAGAGUUUUCUCCUUCAACAACUUGGCUGAACUUUAUGUUAUCUUUAAGGCCGAUAUUCUCCUCAAAAUAAAUGUCAUUGACAAGUACUCAACUUCAAAGAUAAAGGUCAAAGCAUGGACGGCAAGUUGAAGAAAGAAAAGUCCUUUAAUGUAUUUUAAUCAUGUGUCAAUUAUGAGUUUAUCAACUAGGAGUAGCUAUCU
RNAcentral lists this long non-coding RNA (18481 nucleotides) under Carica papaya (papaya). RNAcentral describes it as "long non-coding RNA (CPAP_LNC009989)". Lineage: Eukaryota; Viridiplantae; Streptophyta; Magnoliopsida; Brassicales; Caricaceae. The record is from RNAcentral.